UGUAUGUAUGCAUGUAUGUAAUCACUGUGUAUCAUACUCAAAUUUAAUACUCUGUGUGUUCAGGUUUCCCUGUUCCUCCUGGAGUGCCCUCUCCUCCUCCCAUGAUAACUUCACUAGACAGUGCUCGUUCAAGAGGAAGCCAUUCCGCCCCAUUGUACCGCUUUUCUGCAGGUGUGUACCCACCACUGAUGAGUGCUAUGGCCUCCUGGCCUAAUAUGUUGGACAGUGCCAAAGCGUGGGAAUACUACACUCGUCACGACAAAAAGAGGGAGAGAGAGAAAGAGAGGGAGAGACCCCGAGACAGAGACAGAGAUAGAGACAGGGAGAGGGAUCGACAGCGUGAACAAGAACACACACCUUCAAUGCAAAGCCGCAGCAGUGAUGAAGAGAGUGUGCGGCACAGGGAUCAUAGUGAUCGGGAGAGAGAGAGGCAUCGGGAACGUGCUGGUGGAACAGGAGAGAGAGAGGACAGAUACAGAGAGAGGAGACACAGGGAGCGCAGCGAACGGCAUAAAUCCUCACGCAGCAGCUACAGUAGGAGGAGGCACGCUAGUGACGAUGGAGAGAGCCACAGGAGACACAGACACAAACGCUCCAGACGCAACCGAGACAGCACAGAGCCCAGCGAAGAGCGCAGCGCUGAACACGAAAACCAAUCAGAGCCCACUGAAUAA
Long non-coding RNA from Pygocentrus nattereri (red-bellied piranha), 674 nucleotides. Lineage: Eukaryota; Metazoa; Chordata; Actinopteri; Characiformes; Serrasalmidae. The record is from Ensembl.